RNAcentral lists this ribosomal RNA (200 nucleotides) under uncultured bacterium. RNAcentral's name for it is "partial 16S ribosomal RNA". It matches the Rfam family "Bacterial small subunit ribosomal RNA", at positions 1301 to 1500 of the family's 1533-position model. The record is from RNAcentral.
CAGGCUGCAACCCGCCUGCAUGAAGCCGGAAUCGCUAGUAAUCGCGGAUCAGAAUGCCGCGGUGAAUACGUUCCCGGGUCUUGUACACACCGCCCGUCACACCAUGGGAGUCGGGAAUGCCCGAAGCCGGCGGCCUAACCGAAAGGGGGGAGCCGUCGAAGGCAGGCCCGGUGACUGGGGUGAAGUCGUAACAAGGUAAC